AUACGUAGGUGACAAGCGUUAUCCGGAUUUACUGGGCGUAAAGGGCGUGUAGGCGGUCUUGCAAGUCAGAAGUGAAAUUCCUGAGCUCAACUCGGGCGCUGCUUCUGAAACUGCAGGACUUGAGUGCUGGAGGGGAUAGCGGAAUUUCUAGUGGAGCGGUAAACUGCGCAGAUAUCAGGAAGAACACCGGUGGCGAAGGCGGCUAUCUGGACAGUAACUGACGCUGAGGCGCGAAAGCGUGGGGAGCAAACAGGAUUAGAUCCCCUGGUAGUCCACGCCGUAAACGAUGAAUACUAGGUGUAGGGGGUAUCGACUCCCUCUGUGCCGCAGUUAACACAAUAAGUAUUCCGCCUGGGGAGUACGGCCGCAAGGUUGAAACUCAAAUGAAUUGGCGGGG
This 397-nucleotide ribosomal RNA is filed under the name uncultured bacterium. Its description in RNAcentral is "partial 16S ribosomal RNA". It matches the Rfam family "Bacterial small subunit ribosomal RNA", at positions 523 to 918 of the family's 1533-position model. The record is from RNAcentral.